CCUACGGGUGGCAGCAGUGAGGAAUAUUGGUCAAUGGCCGGAAGGCUGAACCAGCCAUGCCGCGUGAAGGUCAGUGCCCUAUGGGCGUUAAACUUCUUUUGUGCGGGAGCAAUAAUGGUCACGUGUGGCCAGACGAGAGUACCGUACGAAUAAACAUCGGCCAACUCCGUGCCAGCAGCCGCGGGUAUACGGGGGAUGCAAGCGUUAUUCGGCGUUAUUGGGUUUAAAGGGUGCGUAGGCUGUGAGGUAAGUCAGCGGUGAAAUGCCCCCGGCUAACGGGGUGAAGUGCAAUUGAUACUGGCUAGCUGGAAUGCGGAUGCCGUGGGAGGAAUGUGCGGUGUAGCGGUGAAAUGCAUAGAUAUUACACAGAACACCGAUUGCGAAGGCAUCUCACGAAUCCGCGAUUGACGCUGAUGCACGAAAGCGUGGGUAUCAAACAGGAUUAGAUACCCGGGUAGUC
Molecule: ribosomal RNA, 460 nt
Filed under: uncultured bacterium
Lineage: Bacteria
Description: partial 16S ribosomal RNA
Rfam family: Bacterial small subunit ribosomal RNA
Source: RNAcentral